This 922-nucleotide ribosomal RNA is filed under the name Rhizobium leguminosarum. Its description in RNAcentral is "bacterial SSU rRNA". It matches the Rfam family "Bacterial small subunit ribosomal RNA", at positions 67 to 962 of the family's 1533-position model. Lineage: Bacteria; Pseudomonadati; Pseudomonadota; Alphaproteobacteria; Hyphomicrobiales; Rhizobiaceae. The record is from RNAcentral.
AGGUAGCCGUAAGAUUGCUCUCGGGUGACGAGUGGCGGACGGGUGAGUAAUGUCUGGGAAACUGCCGGAUAACUACUGGAAACGGUAUGCUAAUACCGCAUAACGUCGCAAGACCAAAGAGGGGGACCUUCGGGCCUCUUGCCAUCAGAUGUGCCCAGAUGGGAUUAGCUAGUAGGUGGGGUAACGGCUCACCUAGGCGACGAUCCCUAGCUGGUCUGAGAGGAUGACCAGCCACACUGGAACUGAGACACAGGUCCAGACUCCUACGGGGCAGGCAGCAGUGGGGAAUAUUGCACAAUGGGCGCAAGCCUGAUGCAGCCAUGCCGCGUGUAUGAAGAAGGCCUUCGGGUUGUAAAGUACUUAGUCAGCGGGGAGGAAGGCGAUAAGGUUAAUAACCUUGUCGAUUGACGUUAGCCCGCAGAAGAAGCACCGGCUAACUCCGUGCCAGCAGCCGCGGUAAUACGGAGGGUGCAAGCGUUAAUCGGAAUUCACUGGGCGUAAAGCGCACGCAUUGGCGGUCUCGUCAAGUCGGAUGUGAAAUCCCCGGGCUCAACCUGGGAACUGCAUUCGAAACUGGCAGGCUGGAGUCUUGUAGAGGGGGGUAGAAUUACCAGGUGUAGCGGUGAAAUGCGUAGAGAUCUGGAGGAAUACCGGUGGCGAAGGCGGCCCCCUGGACAAAGACUGACGCUCAGGUGCGAAAAGCGUGGGGAGCAAAGCCAGGGAUUAGAUACCCUGGUAGUCCACGCUGUAAACGAUGUCGACUUGGCAGGUUGUUCCCUUGAGGAGUGCCGGAGCUAACGCGUUUAAGUCAACCGCCUGGGGGAGUACGGCCCGCAAGGUUAAAAACUCCAAAUGAAAUUGGCACGGGGGGCCCGCUCACAAGCCGUGGGAGCCAUGUGGGUUUUAAUUUCGAUGCCACCGC